This is an RNA transcript of Setaria italica (foxtail millet), 2738 nucleotides long. It is a transcript of the gene named probable ribosomal RNA small subunit methyltransferase B, with no coding region annotated. The record is from RefSeq and is a predicted model, not a curated record. NCBI's taxonomy places the organism in Eukaryota, Viridiplantae, Streptophyta, Magnoliopsida, Poales, Poaceae. The transcript has 23 exons.
CUUUCGUUAACCCCUCGUCGUCCUCCGCUCGUUGCCUCCUCCCCAGAGUCCAGCCGCGCCAACUCCCGAAAGGCCAAAACCCCACCAAAUGGAGGGGGUAGCGCCCGCCGUCUCGCUGUUCCGCCCGCGCGCUUCCGCACGCCUCCCUGUCCUCCUCGCCGCGGAUUCCGGUGCCGCCCGCAUGAGCCCCGGUGCAGGGAGGAGCAGGGUUUCGAGGCGUAGCCCUGAGAUGUCUCCGCCAGGAGCAGGGAGGAGUGCGGUGAGGAAGCACGGCAGUACCGAGGCUGCACCUCGCCGACCAGGAAUAACUAGAGUUCCAAAGCUUGGCCCUGCAGUUUCUACUAAAAGAGCAGGGAGGGGUAAGGAUCCACUUGUUAAUUUGGAGGUCUCUCAUCACAGAGCGGUUGCAGCGGUGAGGUUGCUAAGAAUUGAGAAGGGGAAGGCAUUUGUUGACCUUUUGAAUGAUAAAGCAAAUGAUUCUGGAGAUAAUGAGAUGGGAUAUGUUGAGAGGACGCUAGGUUUCAGCACACGGUAUUUGGAGGACAGGGAUAUAAGACUGGUUACUGUCAUAGUUGCUGGAACUGUGCGUUGGAAGCGUUACCUUGAUUAUCUUAUCAUGUCGCUAUGUAGCGAGGAGAAGGUGUUCAGGGAGAUGGAGCCACUGCUUCUGCAGAUAUUGCGAAUUGGCUUUUUUGAAAUUCUCAAGCUUGAUGUACCAGCUUAUGCUGCCGUGGAUGAGAAUGUAAGUCUUGCUAAAGUAGCUUUAAGGCCUGGUGCUGGGAACAUGGUGAAUGCAAUCCUGCGUAAACUUGUAGUGCUAAAGGAGACAAACUCUCUUCCUCUUCCAAAGAUAGAAGGUGAUGAUCGUGCCCAAGCUCGUGCUCUUUCCAUAAUUUAUUCUCAUCCUGUUUGGAUGGUGAGAAGAUGGAUACGAUUUCAUGGAAAAGACGAAGCUCUAAGAUUGAUGAAUUGGAAUAACAGUGAUCCCCGUUUCAGUCUAAGGGUGAACACAUCAAAAGGAUAUACAAGGGCUGACCUUGUAAAACAAUUGGAAAGUUUACAGGUUCAUUAUGAAGAGUCAAUUAUGGAUGAAUUUGUCCGCAUUCGGGAAGGGAUGCAGGCAGUCUUACAAGCUGGAUUACUAAAAAAUGGCAUGUGUGCUGUGCAAGACGAGAGUGCAGGUCUUGUAGUUUCUGUGGUCGAUCCACAACCUGGAGAAACCAUUAUUGAUUGCUGUGCUGCACCUGGCGGAAAGACACUGUUCAUGGCAUCACGAUUGUCAGGACAAGGGAAGAUAUGGGCUCUAGAUGUAAACAAAGGUCGCUUGAGAAUACUUAUGGAAGCAGCAAAGUUGCACAGUCUCGAUGAUAUGAUCACUGACAUCCAUGCUGAUCUUCGACUACAUACUAAGGAAACCACUGCUAAAUAUGACAAAGUAUUGUUGGAUGCUCCGUGCUCUGGUCUGGGAGUCCUUUCCAAGAGGGCAGACUUGCGUUGGAAUAGACAGUUUGAAGAUUUGGAAGAGUUGAUGUGUUUACAAGACGAGCUUCUUGAUUCGGCAUCAACAUUGGUAAAGCCUGGUGGUAUACUAAUAUACAGUACAUGUUCGAUUGACUGUGAAGAAAACGAAAAGAGGAUUACUGCUUUUGUCCAGAGGCACCCGGAAUUUGCCAUACACUCUGUUUGUGGAUAUGUUCCUACAGAAUUUGUCACAGAUGAAGGUUUCUAUUCCUCAAAUCCAACUAAGCACUCUAUGGAUGGGGCAUUUGCUGCUCGUCUUGUCCGGUCAAUGGACUAAGAUUCUAGGAGUGCCACAAGGCCACAACUAGGAGCUUUACAUCGUAAGGUCCAUGAGGGCAAGACCACAGGCGUGGCAAAGGAGGGUCGAGGUUCUCUAGCAGCUGCAGGCAUCCUAGGUGGUUCAUCGAUGGUGUGAAGGGCAAAACCAUCUAUCUUGACAAAGGAAACUUAGCUUUUUGUGGCUGGUAUGCAGAUGAUGAUGAUGGAAUGGAGAACCUUGCCACACUUUUUUAAUCACAGGUAUGCGCGACCGAGCUGGUAGAAAAGGAGUCCUGCCAUGGUUUGUGGCUACAACCAAAUAGCUGCUGACUUGGUCAAACUCGACAACCUUAGGCGUGGCAGAGUGUGGCAAGUCUGCAUUAAGAAGUAUGGUGCUUUUACUUCAAGAAAAGAAACAUGGUCAAAUUCAGGUGAUAUUGCUUCUUGUACAGCAUCCAGAUUAGCUUCAUCAUGAACAAGAAUUGUGAAGCUGCCCUGACGAAGUCCAUUUUGAUGAUGAGUACCAUAAUAAUGUAUGUUGCAAGCUACGGUACCUGUAACUACACUUGCCUGAAUGGUCUGCACCUGCACAUGUCUAUCUAGUUAGAUCCAAAUGUAGGAUGACUUCGAUGCUUUUGUCCAAUGCUGCAAAUGUUAGAGUUUGCAACGACAAGAAUUUUCCAGAUGUAGCCUAACGUACAUACAUUUAGUUAAGUAUUGCAUUCUCAAAAAACUAUUGUAGUGCACAUUAUCUAUACGCACUACUAGACAAGACGAUCACUACUGUGGAUAAAACGUUAUUAUCAGUAACAGUGAAUAUUAACGAGAUAGUUGGCCUGGCCUUGCUGCAGUUUCAAGUGAAAGGAGAUUUUAUUCAACAAAUAAUCAAAUGUACCAUGUAGGCAGGCACCAAAUUUUUUACAUGAGGGAUGCAAUUGAUGAAUGAGACACUUGAAGAA